This 329-nucleotide unclassified non-coding RNA is filed under the name uncultured Arthroderma. RNAcentral's name for it is "sequence contains ITS1". The stretch from base 1 to 105 matches the Rfam family "5.8S ribosomal RNA", at positions 50 to 154 of the family's 154-position model. Lineage: Eukaryota; Fungi; Ascomycota; Eurotiomycetes; Onygenales; Arthrodermataceae. The record is from RNAcentral.
GAAAUGCGAUAAGUAAUGUGAAUUGCAGAAUUCCGUGAAUCAUCGAAUCUUUGAACGCACAUUGCGCCCCCUGGCAUUCCGGGGGGCACGCCUGUCCGAGCGUCAUUGCGAACCCCUCAAGCCCGGCUUGUGUGAUGGGCGCCCGUCCCCCUCCCCCCUCCCGGGAUGGGGGACGCGCCCCAAAAGGCAGCGGCGGCGCCGAACGUGGCCGAGCGCAUGGGGACUCCAGUCACGCGCUCGCGCCCGCGAUCGGGAACGCCGGCCAGACCAGACCACGUCGACCCCCCACGGUUGACCUCGGAUCAGGCGGGGAUACCCGCUGAACUUAA